CCAAGCCUACCGAGUGUGCCUUUCAAACUUCAAAGUGUGAACUACAAGUUCUGGAGAAUUGAUUGUUACAGACGAGAGAGAGGAAUGAGACCGUCGUUUUUCCUUUUUUUAGCUCUUCUGUGAGAGGAACGAAGAAGAGACGCUCUAGCAGAUCGGCAGUGCCGAUGGCGUCGAGUUCUCUGAAGAAUUCAUCAACAUCGGUCGUGCUUGACAAGACUCCUUACAAAAGACAAUAGCUACAACGAGAAUCGCACAUGCGAUCCGUCCACGAGAUCGACAUCUUGCAAAACCCUAAUCUCUGUCGCGCGACGAUCUGAUGAGAAAUCUCAUUGAUCAGAUCGACGUCUCGCAAAACCCUAAUCUCUUCCGUCUAUUUCUAUCUUCUACUUGAAGAAAACGCAAGAAGUGAGAAACGACAUCGGUCGUGCUUACAAGUCUCUCUUAUUGUUGAGAAACGACAACAGCUGCAAGGAGAAACGCACCUGCCAUCUGUCCACGAGAUCGACUUCUCGCAAAACCCUAACCUCUGUCUCGAAGGCGACACAUCUGAGAGAAAUCUCAUCAAUCAGUCGUACGUUGAGGUCCUCAAGGACGAUGCCUCCCUCCCUCUCUAGUGUUCAAACGUUUGAAGGCGCUUUUGAGAAGGAAAGCAGAACUUCAUCAAUUUAGGUCAUCUUGGGCUAGCUAUUCUAACAAAGAGAAAUUUCUUAUGUGAUUAUCAGGGUAUUAUAAGAUGUUCCACAAGCAGUUGCUCGCUUGCGGUGAUUGCAGGUAUUACAGAAGUCCAGUUUAUUAUGGCACACGCUUUUUAUCAAAAUAAUCUAUGGAAAAUCAAGAACCAAUAAUAACAUAAAUCAAUGCGUAACAGGUUAAGUAUUGACGGAUUUCACGUUAAUAGAAUUGAAUGGGCGGAUCAUAUAAUUACAAAAAAAAAAUCCAAAUGUUCUAUCAGAAGGGCCUUCUGGAAUCGUACAUCUUGGGGGCAGGACCCAAAUUAGUGGGCCAAACAUAUAAGACAUUGCCAAAAACGCCAUGGGCUUGGGUUCAGUGUAAUUGAUAGUACGACACCCAGUUGUAUGUGACAACGUUAGAAUAAUAUCAAAAGAAAAGAGAUUUUAGGCCUUGAUUGCAAUUGAGCCAAAUGUACUUGGGGGCCUACGGGCUCUUCUUAACAGGCCAAAUGGCCCAAUAAGAAUGGGCCGAAACCCAAAAAUGGGUCUACACUAAAACAGGCCCAAUAUCAUGGGUCGAAGCCCAAUUAUAUGGGCCCAUGAUACAAUAAAGUGGGCCUGUUAAGUUUUUCUGCCUUAGUCAAUUUGGUAUAAUGUGUUGUCGGCCCAGGGGCCCAGAGUUACAGGCCAAAAGGCCCAAAAUUAAGGGGCCUAUUAUAAACAUAGCGAACUGGGCCAAUGAAUUUUGGCUCCCAGGGUCCAGCGUAACUGGCCAAGAGGCCCAAUAGAAAUGGGCUGAAGCCUAAUCAUAUGGGCCCAUUAUGCAAACAUAGCGGCCUGGUCAACCUUAGUUCCAAUGGCCCUUGUGUUUUGGGUCGAAACCAAUUCUAUGGGCCCAUGAUGUAAUUAUUCAAUGGGGUCAAGUUUUUUGGGCCUUAAGUCCAAUUGGGUCAAUUUGUUUUCGGCCCACAGGCUCGGCAUAAAUGGCCUAAAGGCCCAAUUUUAAUGAGGCGAAACACAAUUAUAUGGGCCUAUGAUAGAAUCAAGCAGGUCCGGUCAAGUUUCUUGGGCCUGCAUCCAAUUGGGCCAUGUCACUCUCGUAAGCCCAUUUUCACUUUGGGCUUCAGAGUGAUAUGGCUCCGGCCUAUUCUUUCAUUUGUUUUAAAAGUGGCCCAAGUGCUUGUGCAUGAUCUUUCAUUUGUUUUAACAUUUAAGAGUGAGGAGGCCCAAAUUCAUUUUGGGCUUUAAGUUCAAUUCUUAUCAGUUAUCAGCCUCAUGCUGGCCCACUAUAACUGGUCCCGAGGCACAGUUUUUUUGGGCCAUAUGUUGAACUCGUUUAGGAUGUGACGCAACUCUUAACCAGACCGAAUAAGUUUGGUCCUCAUGUCUCGAAUCAGGCCAUGGUACAUUAUACCAUACCUGAGCCGGGUCUCAACUUCAUUAAGCCUGCCUUACAUCAAACUCAUGUGGGCUGUGACGCAACUCUUUACUAGGCCUCGAGCCGAAGAUGGUUGAGCCACGGACAAGGGCGUAACUACCAUUAGCGGCAAGGUUGGUUCUAGUUUCCUUAUUGUUAUAUGUAGUCUUUAAAUUCCCACCUUUUAAUGAAUGCUCUUCCCAUUCGCAUGGUAAAGAAUCUAGUAGUGAUAAACUGAUAAUAGCUUUUAACCUUCCAGCCAUUCCAUUCAGCAUAGUCCAAGGCCAUUCUUCCAGCUAUAGCACCCACAACAUGACCGGAGAUGAGAUCUGGUCCAAAGAUCAAAUAGCUUUUCCAUGUCAGCUCUUGCCACUACACUUAUAAUCAAACCAGCUUUUCUUGCUGUAGGCAUCAAAGCUGAACUUAAUCAUUAGAUGAGGAGUUCCUGCAUCCA
This is a long non-coding RNA of Tripterygium wilfordii, 2542 nucleotides long. RefSeq lists it as uncharacterized. The transcript has 3 exons. The record is from RefSeq and is a predicted model, not a curated record. Lineage: Eukaryota; Viridiplantae; Streptophyta; Magnoliopsida; Celastrales; Celastraceae.